GAACGGGUGAGUAAUAUAUCGGAACGUACCCAGAAGUGGGGGAUAACGCAGCGAAAGUUGCGCUAAUACCCGCAUACGAUCUACGGAUGAAAGUGGGGGACCUGCAAGGGCCUUAUGCUUUUGGAGCGGCCGAUAUCUGAUUAGCUAGUUGGUGAGGUAAAGGCUCACCAAGGCAUCGAUCAGUAGCUGGUCUGAGAGGACGACCAGCCACACUGGAACUGAGACACGGUCCAGACUCCUACGGGAGGCAGCAGUGGGGAAUUUUGGACAAUGGGGGCAACCCUGAUCCAGCAAUGCCGCGUGAGUGAAGAAGGCCUUCGGGUUGUAAAGCUCCUUUGUCCGGGAAGAAACGGUGAUCUCUAAUAUAGAUUACUAAUGACGGUACCGGAAGAAUAAGCACCGGCUAACUACGUGCCAGCAGCCGCGGUAAUACGUAGGGUGCAAGCGUUAAUCGGAAUUACCGGGCGUAAAGCGUGCGCAGGCGGUUAUGUAAGACAGAUGUGAAAUGCCCGGGCUUAACCUGGGAAUGGCAGUUGAGACUGCAUGGCUAGAGUGUGUCAGAGGGGGGUAGAAUUCCACGUGUAGCAGUGAAAUGCGUAGAGAUGUGGAGGAAUACCGAUGG
Molecule: ribosomal RNA, 622 nt
Filed under: uncultured bacterium
Lineage: Bacteria
Description: bacterial SSU rRNA
Rfam family: Bacterial small subunit ribosomal RNA
Source: RNAcentral